RNAcentral lists this ribosomal RNA (406 nucleotides) under uncultured bacterium. Its description in RNAcentral is "bacterial SSU rRNA". It matches the Rfam family "Bacterial small subunit ribosomal RNA", at positions 355 to 776 of the family's 1533-position model. The record is from RNAcentral.
UUGGGAAUCUUGCACAAUGGAGGCAACUCUGAUGCAGCGACGCCGCGUGGAGGAUGACGGAUCUAGGUCUGUAAACUCCUUUUGCCAGGAAAGACUUAGGACGGUACCUGGCGAAUAAGCACCGGCUAACUACGUGCCAGCAGCCGCGGUAAGACGUAGGGUGCAAGCGUUGUCCGGAUUUACUGGGCGUAAAGGGCGCGUAGGCGGCUCGUUAAGUGUGAAGUGAAAUUUUCAGGGCUCAACCCGAAAACUGCUUCGCAUACUGGCGGGCUUGAGGAACGCAGAGGUGACUAGAAUUCCCGGUGUAGCGGUGAAAUGCGUUGAUAUCGGGAGGAAUUCCCAUGGCGAAGGCAGGUCACUGGGCGUUCCCUGACGCUGAGGCGCGAAAGCGUGGGUAGCAAACAGG